This 76-nucleotide transfer RNA is filed under the name Planctomycetes bacterium ADurb.Bin069. Its description in RNAcentral is "tRNA-Met". It matches the Rfam family "tRNA". From Rfam's summary of the family: Transfer RNA (tRNA) molecules are approximately 80 nucleotides in length. Their secondary structure includes four short double-helical elements and three loops (D, anti-codon, and T loops). The record is from RNAcentral. RNAcentral also lists the same sequence under 1 other name. Lineage: Bacteria; Pseudomonadati; Planctomycetota.
GGCGGCGUAGCUCAGUCGGUAGAGCAAAGGAUCCAUAAUCCUUUGGUCACAGGUUCGAGUCCUGUCGCCGCUACCA